RNAcentral lists this ribosomal RNA (253 nucleotides) under uncultured bacterium. Its description in RNAcentral is "partial 16S ribosomal RNA". It matches the Rfam family "Bacterial small subunit ribosomal RNA", at positions 524 to 776 of the family's 1533-position model. The record is from RNAcentral.
UACGUAGGGUGCGAGCGUUAAUCGGAAUUACUGGGCGUAAAGCGUGCGUAGGCGGUUCGUUAAGUUCGUUGUGAAAGCCCCGGGCUCAACCUGGGAAUGGCAAUGGAAACUGGCGGGCUGGAGUAUGGCAGAGGGGGGUGGAAUUCCGCGUGUAGCAGUGAAAUGCGUAGAGAUGCGGAGGAACACCGAUGGCGAAGGCAGCCCCCUGGGCCAAUACUGACGCUCAGGCACGAAAGCUAGGGUAGCGAACGGG